UACGUAGGUGGCAAGCGUUGUCCGGAUUUACUGGGCGUAAAGGGUGCGUAGGCGGAUUUUUAAGUGGGAUGUGAAAUACCCGGGCUCAACUUGGGUGCUGCAUUCCAAACUGGAAAUCUAGAGUGCAGGAGAGGAGAAUGGAAUUCCUAGUGUAGCGGUGAAAUGCGUAGAGAUUAGGAAGAACACCAGUGGCGAAGGCGAUUCUCUGGACUGUAACUGACGCUGAGGCAUGAAAGCGUGGGGAGCAAAC
Molecule: ribosomal RNA, 250 nt
Filed under: uncultured bacterium
Lineage: Bacteria
Description: partial 16S ribosomal RNA
Rfam family: Bacterial small subunit ribosomal RNA
Source: RNAcentral